This 793-nucleotide ribosomal RNA is filed under the name uncultured bacterium. Its description in RNAcentral is "bacterial SSU rRNA". It matches the Rfam family "Bacterial small subunit ribosomal RNA", at positions 8 to 825 of the family's 1533-position model. The record is from RNAcentral.
AGAGUUUGAUCCUGGCUCAGGACGAACGCUGGCGGCGUGCCUAACACAUGCAAGUCAAGGGUGUAGCAAUACACACUGGCGCACGGGUGAGUAACGCGUAGGUCAUCUGCCCCAAUCUCUGACAUAACAUCGAGAAAUCGGUGCUAAUAUCAGAUGAGGUGCUUCGGCAUCAAAGGUUUCGGCUGGAUUGGGAUGAGCCUGCGUCUGAUUAGCUUGUUGGCGGGAUAAAAGCCCACCAAGGCAGCGAUCAGUAGCUGGUCUGAGAGGACGAUCAGCCACACUGGAACUGAGACACGGUCCAGACUCCUACGGGAGGCAGCAGUGAGGAAUAUUGGUCAAUGGGGGAAACCCUGAACCAGCGACGCCGCGUGUACGAUGAAGGGGCUUUGCCCUGUAAAGUACUGUCGGAUGGGAAGAAAAGCACCCUCGGGGUGCCGGGACUGUACCAUCAAAGGAAGGAUCGGCUAACUACGUGCCAGCAGCCGCGGUAAUACGUAGGAUCCAAGCGUUGUCCGGAUUUACUGGGUGUAAAGGGUGCGUAGGCGGAUUUGUGCGUCAGAGGUUAAAUGUCACGGCUCAACCGUGAACCUGCCUUUGAUACGGCAAGUCUGGAGUACGGGAGAGGAAGGUAGAAUUCCUGGUGUAGCGGUGAAAUGCGUAGAUAUCAGGAGGAACACCUGUGGUGUAGACAGCUUACUGGACCAUUUCUGACGCUGAGACACGAAAGCGUGGGUAGCAAACAGGAUUAGAUACCCUGGUAGUCUUAGCCCUAAACGAUGGAUGCUUGGUGUGA